CUAUAGAAUUCAAUUCUGCAGGCCUGUCCCCUUGCUGUAGUGUCCCAUGACAGAGCAAACUGUAGCCCCAAACCGUUGCCUGGGCUUGUCCAUAGGCCUGACACUGAAGUGGGCUGCAUGGUG
RNAcentral lists this small nucleolar RNA (123 nucleotides) under Dasypus novemcinctus (nine-banded armadillo). RNAcentral's name for it is "Small nucleolar RNA SNORA42/SNORA80 family (ENSDNOG00000027584.1)". Lineage: Eukaryota; Metazoa; Chordata; Mammalia; Cingulata; Dasypodidae. The record is from RNAcentral.